GGAGUUUAGAAAUUGGCGAUAAAUAUCGAUGAAUAUCCUGAAUAAAAUGAGAUGAAAUUAGCUACUUCCUUGCUAAAGAAGGCGACAAAAAUUCUAACUCAUCGCGUUCUUUCACCUGUGAUCUGGGAAUAAACGAAAUAGCGUUUCUAACGGCAGGGAUAAACGGUGCAUAGAGAAGUUGCACUGGCGAGUGAGAUACUGCAACAAGCCGCGGGUUCGUUUAUCACUGGUGCGCUCCAGAUGAUCCUCAAAUUUAUUGA
Molecule: unclassified non-coding RNA, 260 nt
Filed under: Bombus terrestris (buff-tailed bumblebee)
Lineage: Eukaryota; Metazoa; Arthropoda; Insecta; Hymenoptera; Apidae
Description: misc RNA ENSBTSG00005031846.1
Source: RNAcentral